This 6045-nucleotide long non-coding RNA is filed under the name Sus scrofa (pig). RNAcentral's name for it is "lncRNA (ENSSSCG00040020249.1)". The record is from RNAcentral. Lineage: Eukaryota; Metazoa; Chordata; Mammalia; Artiodactyla; Suidae.
AAUAGGCUGACAGACAACUGUCAGUGCUGUAAUAGUCAGGAAAAGACAAUGUGAAUAAUUUCCAAGGAACAGGCUGAACCACCCUUGCUGUUGCUGUUGUUGCUGUUACUAUUGUCAUUGUUGGUCACUUUCCUUCCCUUCUAUGAGUGCUGUGAUUAGCUGGUCAGACUUUUGCUCAAUAACUAAACUCAGCAUCUAUCCUUUUAUAGAUUCUUAUAGAUUGGUGGAACUCACAGAUUUCAAAAAAUUUUAAUAUUGGAGAGGACCUUGAGAGUCAUCUAACUGAACUCUUAUCCUUUUAUAGAUGAGGGAAAUGAGGCUCAGGGCAAAUACAUGAUGUUAUAAACUGCUUUCUUUUUGCUGCAGAAUCAGGUCUAGAAUUCAGGUCCCCUGGCUCCUGGACCAAUAUUCUUUUCACCAUAUCAUCCUACCAUCUUUGCAUAUCAGUUGCAUAUCAGAAGUGACUGAUUUCAAGAGUUUCUCCUAAAGAAGGAAGAGGUGUUUGUGUUUCUUCCUAAUGCCUGGGUCAUUGCCUCCUGCCUAUCUUAAUCUAAGCACAUGAGUUCUUUUUCAGUCCAACACUCAAACUACCUGUGCCCCAAGCACUCACCAGAUAUUUAGACUCAGUGCAAGGGCUCCCCCAUGGAGACAACUGGUACUGAAUUAAUAAAAUGUGGUAAUGGUCUUCAAAAAUCUGGGCAAGAAUAGGUGGCAGUUAUUGAUAAAUCUAUCAUUGGUCCAUUGCACCCUGCAAAGAUUAAGGAAAAUAUAGUAAAUAUUCAGAUAGCCAAAUUUAUUCAAUUAAUUAACAUUUUGAGUUUGGUUUUUCUAUUUUUUUUCUUUCAAUAUUUAUGAUGCUGGGCACCGUUGGAGAUACAGUGAUUUGUCCUCAGAUUUGAGCAUUGCAUUCUAAGUGGAGGACACAGACUUUGAACAAUAAAACACAUAUUUCACAUAUCAGUAAGUUCUAUGCAGAAAAUAAAUCAGAGUAUCAGGACAGAGAAUGCCUAGAGUGAGGCAAGGGUUCACUAACCCAGGUAGAGUGGUUAGGGAGGUCUCUGAGGAAGUGGCAUUUGAGUGAGAGGAAUGGAUGAAGAAAAGAAACCACCAAGUAAAGAUCUAAGGGAAGAACAAUUCUGUCAGGAGAAAGCAUAUGCAAAGGUCCUGAGGGGGGGAUGGGGUUGGUGGUAGCAGAAGUGGAGUGAGAAAAUAGGGAGAACAGAAGCAAAUGAGAUCACAGAAGUGGUCAGGAGCCAGGUCAUUUAGGUAAGUCAUUUGGACUUUAUUUCACAUAUCACAGGAAGUCCACUGGAAGGUUUUAAGCUAAUAGGGCAAGAAAGAGGAAGACAACCUAUGAGAUUAUAAUGGUAGUGUUAAUGAGAGAAAAUCAUGAUGUAGACUGGAGGGGCGCUGGGUUGGAAAUGGGAGAGAGGAAAAGUGGCAGAUUUGGUGUUUAUCUUGAACAUUGAAAUGACAGAAUCUGCUGUUAAGACUGAGUGUAGGAAAAAUAUACAAAGUGUGGCAAACAGACUUUAAGGUGGUCUCCCUGAUCACUGCAUCCUGGUAUUGGUGCCCUUGUUUAAUCCCUUCGCUUUGAGUGUGGCUGCGACCUGUGACUGACUUUUAACCAAGAGAAUAUGGUAAAGGUAAUGAGAUGCCACUUUUGUACUUAUGACUGUGUCUUGCUAGUAGGCUCUCUCUUCUUCUCCCUCCCUAGCUUUGAAAGAGCAAAGCUAUGGCAGGCCUAUGGAGAAAGCCCUGUGGCUUCUAGCAGACAUCUAGGUAGAAGGCAGAACCCUUAGUCCCACAACCACAGGAACUGAAUGCUGCCAACAAGUUCCUGAGCUGGAAAGAUCACCAACUGAGCUUUCAGAUGAGAGCUAAGCUCCUGAUGAGAAUGGGACUGCAGGCAACACCUUGAUUGCAGCCUCCCAGGGCCUUGUUGAGCCCUGACUCCUGACCCAUGGAAAUUAUGAGAUACCAAAUUUGUGCUAUUUUAAGCUGCUACAUUUGUGGUAGUUUGUUACACAGCAAUAGAAAUGUAAUACAAUAGGAUGUUUAAUUCAGCUUUUCUAGUCUUAGUAUCAUGAAGUGUUUAAACAAUAAAAAAGCCAUGAUCCUUGAACACUUGAUUUACAGAUUAGGGAAACAGUGUCACAGCAAUAUGCCAGAGGCCAUGUGGCUCACUAGUAACUAGAAUCCCAUCUCCUCUUUCUACAACCAUGGCUCUUGUGCUGCACUACAUUGCCUUCUAAGUAUUACACAUUGUUUUUGUUUGUUUCUGUUGGUCUGUGUGAAGCACAUCCUAUAACUUUAUUCUGGGUUAUUGAGGCUUGUCAGAAGAAAGAUGUCUUCCUUUACCUCCUCUAGGAGAUCUGCCUGUAUGUGAUUCAUAUGAAUUCUUAAUCUGAGACAUGGCGGAGGCUCCAUCAUGGAAAUUAAGUGGUACUGGGUUAGGGAGAACCCUUUAGGCUCCCCCAGACACAGCAUAUUUCAAAACUUCCUGCCCAGUCAAGAUAACUCUCCUCUCUCCCCAUAACCUCUUGGGAGCCACUGAAAACUUUUGCCCUGUUUAUGUGGCCUUUCCUGGGAAGUAUGGGGUCACUGACGGGCUGUUGAAUUGAGGUGAUAGAAAGCAAGAAAAUAGAAAGUAUUUUUAAAAUAGAAAGAAAGCAGAAAAGGAAUGAAGGGAAGAAGGAAAGAAGAAAGGAAGGAAGAAAGGGAGGGAGGAAGGAAGAAAAGGAAGGAAGGGAGGAAGAAAACUACAUGACAGCAACGCAACCUAAAAUGCCAGUGACCCUUGGUGCUCAUGAUUAAACUGCAUGAUUAAACAUAAUGAAUAUCUCUCAUUAGCUGCACAGCUGCUGUCAAACCUGGUGGAUGCAUCUUAUCCUGUUCUUUAUGUCCAUUGCCAGAAACAAGAGACAGGAACUGGAUUUCUGGGUAAUGCCACUCUGAAAGUUGCUUUUUCUUUAUGUAGUUCAUGAAGUAUUGGAAGGGUUUAGCAAAGAGUCUCAUCAUAUCAGGAGACUUCAAUACUUACUUUCAUGGCAGAUCUCGUAAUUCUCACAUAUUUUCUUGCCCUUUGUCUCUCCACCUGUUCCUUGUUUAGUCUAGUACAAAGUGACCAUUUUCAUUCUUUUAAUAUUAUGAUGAAAAAAGUGGAAUUCUUCUUUUCUGUGUAUGAUUCCAAGCAUUGGAGUCGACAGGCAAAAUAGACAACAGAAAUAGAGUGACAGGUGACAGAUAAAUAUCCAUGUGCUCUGGACAACCAAAUGUUUUUCUAGAUUACAAUAACUUGGGGUGACUCAGGAUGAAACAAGGCUUGUAAAUUAGUAUGGUUUAAGUUGUCAAGCUGUAGGUUGGACUCUUGUUCAGCUAUUUGAUAUAAACAAAUACUAGCCAUCAUAUUUUAUGGGGAAAUGUCUUGCCUAGGUACCCAUGAAUAUUUACAGCAAUUCUGAGAAUAAUUUGAAAUUACCGAGCCUCUCCUAUCCCCUUUUCUAGGAAGAUCCAUCCUGCAGAAAUACUUUCCUCACUUGCCAGGAUCUUGAAAUUAGAAAAUUAAAAUCCCCCACCAUCCUGCAAAAAUACUUUCUUCUCUUGCCAAGAUCCUGAAAUUAGAAAGUUAAAUAUUUUAUCCUUUGCUUAUUUGUUGUUUAACUGAAAUGUAAAUAACUCAGGAAUGAUAACAAAUGAAGCUUUGUCAGCUAUUUAUACAUGAAAGUGAGUCUAUCCCAUUAUUUCCUGGAGCAGGUUUAGCUGAGGGGUAGGAGGCUGGUUUGAUCGUGAGGGAAGUUAUAUGGGGGGAGGCACUAGGAGGGCACAGGUGUGGGGGAGUGCACCUAGGGAUGGUUGGGCAAAGGGAAGGGGAGCUUCCCUCUGAAGACCAACGUAGUCCACUUGACAAUCUGCCUGGCCAGGCAACAUCCUAAUGUGAGUCUCAGCUUCUUUCCUGAUCCUUGUAAGAAACUGUAGAUGUCUGAACAAGCUCAGAAACCUAAAUAACAAUUGAUGUAGCACUUAAGGGCCACACCUUGUUACACAUUGUUUAGCAACAUAAAUAUUAUUCUGUAUAGUUCCAUGUAUUCAAAGCUUUUAAAAGCACACUGUAUUGUCAGGUUACUUAAGCAGGUCCCAUAGUACUGCCUUCCUGUCUGAUAAGGUAUAUUAAGGAUAUGCAAAUUUUUCUUACAUAGGCAAUGCAUAAAUGUAGCUACAUUUUCUGAAUUUAUGUAUUUUGAGCAAAUUUAAUUUUCGGUCUGGACACUUUACACACUGUCUUUAGUAACAUUAUCAUGAUUGAAAUUGGUCAGUUAGUUCAAACAAAUGAUUAAUUUAGUAGGAUAUUCUUUUAAUUUGGGCAUUUUAUUCUGUUGCUUAAAAAUAUAAACAAAAUGAGCACACACAAAAAUAAAUCCCAAAUAAAUACCAAGCCUUCCAGUUAACUGCUAAAAAAAAUUGAGGCAUUAGAAAACAGGUUAUUGGCAAUAGUGAUGGGAAUUUUUGUGAAUCUACCAAGAGUUGAAAGAAUUUGAUUGUGACUAACAUGGCUUUGGAGAAUUAGUUUUUUGUUUGUUUGUUUUGCUUUUUAGGGCUGCACCCUUGGCACAUGGAGGUUCCCCAGCUAGGGUCGAAUCAGAGCUGUAGCUGCUGGCCUAUGCCAUAGCCAACGACAAUGUGUGAUCCAAGCCGUGUCUGCGACCUACACCACAGCUCACAACAACACGGGAUCCUUAACUACUGAGCAAGGCCAGGGAUCGAACUCGCAUCCUCAUGGCUCCUAGUCAGAUUAAUUUUCUGCUGAGCCAUGAUGGGAACUCUGAGAAUUAGCUUAAAUAUAUAUAUGUUUAUAAAAUUUUCCCUCUGUAAUGGAGAAUAACCUGUACAGUUACUGUGGGGUAAAAUGCCAUUAUAUAUUUGUCCAAACCCGUAGAAUGUACAACAUCAAGAGUGAACCCUACAAAAAUAAAUAAAAAGUGUCAGUGUAUGAAAGAUUAGCCUCAUUGUGUUGAGAGAAAUAAAACAGAAAAAUAAUGUUUGCAAUUGACUAGGGAAACUUACAAAUGUUUGGCUAAACUCUUUAGGCAUACAAAUUAAAUUCAUUAUCUUACUAGGUUUUCCCUCAUUUGUACUGAAAUCAGUUUUACCUCAUGGACCAGAUUACUAAAGAAAGAUGGCAAAGUUCCUGUCAUGGCUCAGUUGAAAUGAAUCCAACUAGCAUCCAUGAGGAUGCGAGUUCAGUCCCUCUCCUUGUUCGGUGGGUCGGGGAUCUGGAUCUGGUAUUGCCUUGAGCUGUGGUGUAGUUUGCAGAUGUGGCUUGGAUCCCCUGUUGUUGUGGCUGUGGUGUAGGCUGGCAGCUGCAGCUCCGAUCCGAUGAGAGAGAGAGAGAGAGAGAGAGAGAGAGAGAGAGAGAGAGAGAAAGAGGGAGGGAGAGAGAAAGAGAGAGAGAGAGAAAUGAGGAAGGGGAGAAGGAGAGAGAAAGAUGUGUAUGCCAAGGGAUGCACACACAUUUUGAUUCUGCUCUUGGCUGGUUCUGCCUGCCCUCCCCAAUACCUGUAAGCCAUGGGUGGACAGAAAAACUGCUGCUUUCAUGGGGACAGAAUAUUUUCUUGCUAUAGGCUGCCUUGUUGGGAGGUUUGCCACCUUCCCUCCAGAACAUGGACCAUUUGUUUUUGUUGGUAAAGAAAUUUUGGAAGAAGUAAGCUGUGUUCCUUGGUUUUGUUAAAAAUAGGGUGCUUGUGAUGGUAGUUAAGUUUGGGAGUCAGGGAGGUUUAAAAACAAUGUGUAGGUAUGGGCCAGACCCUUGUUUUCAGUUGUGUAGUAUUUGCUGAAUAGGAUUCAAUAUGUAACAGACACAAGCCAAUACAGACAAUCUUCGGAAGCUGAAAGAUGUUUUAAAAGUAAAUUAAGUUAGGAGUUCCCUAGUGGCCUAGUGAUUAAGGACCCAGUGUUGUCACUGCUAUGUCUUGGGUCACUGCUGUGGUGCAGUUUAGAUCCCUGACCCAGGAAUUUCCUAAUGCUGUUUAUGUGCACCCCCUCCCC